RNAcentral lists this ribosomal RNA (1438 nucleotides) under Microbacterium halimionae. Its description in RNAcentral is "16S ribosomal RNA". It matches the Rfam family "Bacterial small subunit ribosomal RNA". The record is from RNAcentral. Lineage: Bacteria; Bacillati; Actinomycetota; Actinomycetes; Micrococcales; Microbacteriaceae.
AUGCAAGUCGAACGGUGAAGGUGGAGCUUGCUCUGCUGGAUCAGUGGCGAACGGGUGAGUAACACGUGAGCAAUCUGCCCCUGACUCUGGGAUAAGCGCUGGAAACGGCGUCUAAUACCGGAUAUGAACUGCGAAGGCAUCUUCAGUAGUUGGAAAGAAUUUCGGUCAGGGAUGAGCUCGCGGCCUAUCAGCUUGUUGGUGAGGUAAUGGCUCACCAAGGCGUCGACGGGUAGCCGGCCUGAGAGGGUGACCGGCCACACUGGGACUGAGACACGGCCCAGACUCCUACGGGAGGCAGCAGUGGGGAAUAUUGCACAAUGGGCGCAAGCCUGAUGCAGCAACGCCGCGUGAGGGAUGACGGCCUUCGGGUUGUAAACCUCUUUUAGCAGGGAAGAAGCGAAAGUGACGGUACCUGCAGAAAAAGCGCCGGCUAACUACGUGCCAGCAGCCGCGGUAAUACGUAGGGCGCAAGCGUUAUCCGGAAUUAUUGGGCGUAAAGAGCUCGUAGGCGGUUUGUCGCGUCUGCUGUGAAAACUGGAGGCUCAACCUCCAGCCUGCAGUGGGUACGGGCAGACUAGAGUGCGGUAGGGGAGAUUGGAAUUCCUGGUGUAGCGGUGGAAUGCGCAGAUAUCAGGAGGAACACCGAUGGCGAAGGCAGAUCUCUGGGCCGUAACUGACGCUGAGGAGCGAAAGGGUGGGGAGCAAACAGGCUUAGAUACCCUGGUAGUCCACCCCGUAAACGUUGGGAACUAGUUGUGGGGUCCAUUCCACGGAUUCCGUGACGCAGCUAACGCAUUAAGUUCCCCGCCUGGGGAGUACGGCCGCAAGGCUAAAACUCAAAGGAAUUGACGGGGACCCGCACAAGCGGCGGAGCAUGCGGAUUAAUUCGAUGCAACGCGAAGAACCUUACCAAGGCUUGACAUAUACGAGAACGCUGCAGAAAUGUAGUUCUCUUUGGACACUCGUAAACAGGUGGUGCAUGGUUGUCGUCAGCUCGUGUCGUGAGAUGUUGGGUUAAGUCCCGCAACGAGCGCAACCCUCGUUCUAUGUUGCCAGCACGUAAUGGUGGGAACUCAUGGGAUACUGCCGGGGUCAACUCGGAGGAAGGUGGGGAUGACGUCAAAUCAUCAUGCCCCUUAUGUCUUGGGCUUCACGCAUGCUACAAUGGCCGGUACAAAGGGCUGCAAUACCGUAAGGUGGAGCGAAUCCCAAAAAGCCGGUCCCAGUUCGGAUUGAGGUCUGCAACUCGACCUCAUGAAGUCGGAGUCGCUAGUAAUCGCAGAUCAGCAACGCUGCGGUGAAUACGUUCCCGGGUCUUGUACACACCGCCCGUCAAGUCAUGAAAGUCGGUAAUGCCUGAAGCCGGUGGCCCAACCCUUGUGGAGGGAGCCGUCGAAGGUAGGAUCGGUAAUUAGGACUAAGUCGUAACAAGGUAACC